ACUUUGGGGUGCACAAAAGGUAGUAAAAUCUAAAGGAGUUCAGGCUUAGUUAUUGGAAAUACUGCCAAGUGUGAGAUGCAUGGAUGUGAUUUGGAUUUACAUCCUGAGGGCACUGUUGGUUCCCAUAAGAACCUUAGCACAAACUGACAACCCAACUGCCUGGGAGCUUACGGGGGUAGAGAAUUCUCUACUUCUUGUUCCGCAGACUAGUGAGGAGACAAAGGAAGAUUUCAAGGCAUACUGAAAAUCCUAAGUGACCAUUGCCAUGAACGGUCCAGCUCCGGAGAGCAGGGUUGAGAGAGGAAUCUGAAAGAACCAAGGAAUAAAGAAAUGACUGGCACAAAAUAGAGUUUAAGAGAAGCAGGACACAGGGGACACAAGGUCUCAUUCUGGCUCAGUCAUCCAGAACACCCAGAGCAACUCAGAUUUAUGGAGACAGACCACCUCCUAGUUUGUCUCUAAGGUCCGUGACAUCAGAAUAGGAGUUUCGUAGAACAGUGUCACAACAAAACACAACGGAGUUGGUGGUGUCUAGGGGGCUUGGUGAUGUCCAUCAUGUCAGCGUACAGCAGCCUGAAGGGCAUCGAGUCUUGAUCCGCGGUUCCGGAGGACAGCAUAUUCAGUGGGAAGGGUCCUCGUUUCUCCUGUCGGCCUGCAUAGGUGGCAUCCCGGGUGGCA
This is a long non-coding RNA of Talpa occidentalis (Iberian mole), 678 nucleotides long. RefSeq lists it as uncharacterized. The record is from RefSeq and is a predicted model, not a curated record. The transcript is spliced from 3 exons. NCBI's taxonomy places the organism in Eukaryota, Metazoa, Chordata, Mammalia, Eulipotyphla, Talpidae.